CCUGCAGACCCGGCCUUGGCGAG
Molecule: microRNA, 23 nt
Filed under: Oryctolagus cuniculus (rabbit)
Lineage: Eukaryota; Metazoa; Chordata; Mammalia; Lagomorpha; Leporidae
Description: ocu-miR-2387-3p
Source: miRBase by way of RNAcentral